UAGGGAAUCUUCGGCAAUGGGGGGAACCCUGACCGAGCAACGCCGCGUGAGUGAAGAAGGUUUUCGGAUCGUAAAGCUCUGUUGUUAAGGAAGAACGAGUGUGAGAAUGGAAAGUUCAUGCUGUGACGGUACUUAACCAGAAAGGGACGGCUAACUACGUGCCAGCAGCCGCGGUAAUACGUAGGUCCCGAGCGUUGUCCGGAUUUAUUGGGCGUAAAGCGAGCGCAGGCGGUUAGAAAAGUCUGAAGUGAAAGGCAGUGGCUCAACCAUUGUAGGCUUUGGAAACUGUUUAACUUGAGUGCAGAAGGGGAGAGUGGAAUUCCAUGUGUAACGGUGGAAUGCGUAGAUAUAUGGAGGAACACCGGUGGCGAAAGCGGCUCUCUGGUCUGUAACUGACGCUGAGGCUCGAAAGCGUGGGGAGCGAACAGG
RNAcentral lists this ribosomal RNA (429 nucleotides) under Bacteroidota bacterium. RNAcentral describes it as "Bacteroidetes bacterium partial 16S ribosomal RNA". It matches the Rfam family "Bacterial small subunit ribosomal RNA", at positions 355 to 776 of the family's 1533-position model. Lineage: Bacteria; Pseudomonadati; Bacteroidota. The record is from RNAcentral.